CCUGUUUUCUAAGUAUAUUACUGGAUUAGACAUACUUAUCAAUUUCCAAAAUGGUGUGAAGACUGCCAUAGAAGAAGAGUCAAAUGGAGAACAUGAAAAUUCAUACGAAAAUCUGUUAAAGGAUAACGUUGCUGAUCUUCGCAAUAUUCUGAAUCCUACAUUCUGAUUUGCGGACUCUUGGGAAAAUCAUUUCUUGGCUCCAUGAUGGAAAGGAGGAAGAAUACAGCUAUGGAAAUUGUGUGUAUGGGGAGUCAGCUUUAAGGUAAAGCUAACAGCACAGAAAGCAAA
This is a long non-coding RNA of Callorhinus ursinus (northern fur seal), 288 nucleotides long. RefSeq lists it as uncharacterized. Lineage: Eukaryota; Metazoa; Chordata; Mammalia; Carnivora; Otariidae. The record is from RefSeq and is a predicted model, not a curated record.